AAUGUUAUCGCAAUAGUAAUUGAACUUAGUACGAGAGGAACCGUUCAUUCGGAUAAUUGGUUUUUGCGGCUGUCUGAUCAGGCAACGCCGCGAAGCUACCAUCCGCUGGAUUAUGGCUGAACGCCUCUAAGUCAGAAUCCAUGCUAGAAAGCGAUGAUUCUUGCCUCGCACAUUUUAGUUGGAUAAGAAUAAGGCUCUUUGAGUCGCUGAACCAUAGCAGGCUGGCAAUGGUACACUUAACGGAAAGGUUUUGUGUGCUUGCCGGCGAAUAGCAAUGUCAUAAUGCGCGGGGAUAAAUCCUUUGCAAACGACUUAAAUGUACAACGGAGUAUUGUAAGCAGUAGAGUAGCCUUGUUGUUACGAUCUGCUGAGAUUAAGCUUCAGUUGUCCGAUUU
Scheffersomyces stipitis CBS 6054 is the source of this 395-nucleotide ribosomal RNA. It matches the Rfam family "Eukaryotic large subunit ribosomal RNA", at positions 3004 to 3399 of the family's 3401-position model. The record is from Rfam. NCBI's taxonomy places the organism in Eukaryota, Fungi, Ascomycota, Pichiomycetes, Serinales, Debaryomycetaceae.